This 207-nucleotide ribosomal RNA is filed under the name uncultured bacterium. RNAcentral describes it as "partial 16S ribosomal RNA". It matches the Rfam family "Bacterial small subunit ribosomal RNA", at positions 568 to 774 of the family's 1533-position model. The record is from RNAcentral.
CGCGUAGGCGGGAUCGUGGGUCGGCCGUGAAAUCCACCGGCUCAACCGGUGAACUGCGGUCGAAACUGCGGUCCUUGAGUUUGGUAGAGGAAGACGGAAUUCCUGGUGUAGCGGUGGAAUGCGUAGAUAUCAGGAAGAACACCAGUAGCGAAGGCGGUCUUCUGGGCCACAACUGACGCUGAGGCGCGAAAGCUAGGGGAGCGAACA